AUACUUACCUGGCAGGGGAGAUACCAUGAUCACGAAGGUGGUUUUCCCAGGGCGAGGCUUAUCCAUUGCACUCCGGAUGUGCUGACCCCUGCGAUUUCCCCAAAUGUGGGAAACUCGACUGCAUAAUUUGUGGUAGUGGGGGACUGCGUUCGUGCUUUCCCCUA
RNAcentral lists this small nuclear RNA (164 nucleotides) under Vulpes vulpes (red fox). RNAcentral's name for it is "U1 spliceosomal RNA (ENSVVUG00000010011.1)". It matches the Rfam family "U1 spliceosomal RNA". From Rfam's summary of the family: U1 is a small nuclear RNA (snRNA) component of the spliceosome (involved in pre-mRNA splicing). Its 5' end forms complementary base pairs with the 5' splice junction, thus defining the 5' donor site of an intron. There are significant differences in sequence and secondary structure between metazoan and yeast U1 snRNAs, the latter being much longer (568 nucleotides as compared to 164 nucleotides in human). Lineage: Eukaryota; Metazoa; Chordata; Mammalia; Carnivora; Canidae. The record is from Rfam by way of RNAcentral.